AGAUUGAACGCUGGCGGCAGGCCUAACACAUGCAAGUCGAGCGGUAGAGAGGUGCUUGCAUCUCUUGAGAGCGGCGGACGGGUGAGUAAUGCCUAGGAAUCUGCCUAGUGGUGGGGGAUAACGUUCGGAAACGGACGCUAAUACCGCAUACGUCCUACGGGAGAAAGCGGGGGACCUUCGGGCCUCGCGCCAUUAGAUGAGCCUAGGUCGGAUUAGCUAGUUGGUGAGGUAAUGGCUCACCAAGGCGACGAUCCGUAACUGGUCUGAGAGGAUGGAUCGAAGUCACACUGGAACUGAAGACACGGUCCAGACCUCCGUACGGGAGCAGGCGAGUGGGAAUAGUGGACAAGUGGGACGAAAGCCUGACUCCGAGUCCAGUCGCCGUCGUGUGUAGAA
This 396-nucleotide ribosomal RNA is filed under the name uncultured soil bacterium. RNAcentral describes it as "bacterial SSU rRNA". It matches the Rfam family "Bacterial small subunit ribosomal RNA", at positions 26 to 412 of the family's 1533-position model. The record is from RNAcentral.